AAAUAUUAAAUAACAUAUAUAUAUAUAUAUGUAUGUAAGUUAGACAUAAUUACUAUUAUAAAUUUCUUCAACAAGCUUAUGGAUUUUACGUAAAUUUUUUUGUUAGGCAUCGAUGAAGGAGAUCAUCCACCUACAACAAUGUGAAUUGAAACUCAUUGUUCCCCUAUCAUGUCUUAAUUCUGUUCGAAUCUUGUUCAACUUUGCUCUCGUAAGUAUUAUACUACUAUCAUAACAAAAACAUUAUCAUUAUUUGAACUAUCAUUAAUAUCUUGGAGCAUACAGAAAUGAGGAUAUGAUAAACAUUUUACAGUACUUCAAAUUAAGGAUUAGCUGUACCAAAUAUUAGAUUUGUCAAAUGUUAGAGGUGAAAGGAAGCUAUUUCCUUUGCAACUCGGAGUGUUUGAAUUGUCCAAUCUAGAAAGAGGGCGAAAUUAUCUUUAGAUUCUUUGAGUAUAGUAUAAAUUAAUUAUGAGAUAAAUCAACUUUCAAUAAUUGUAUCAACACAAACUAAUUUAUUUAUUUUCUCAUGAAAUUUUACAGGUGCAACGUGUGUAUCAAUUUGUCAAAUAUUAGAUAUAAAGUACAUGACUUGCAUUUGACGUUUAGUGGAAAUUGGGCCAGAUGAAACUUCAACCCAACAAGGAAACUCUUGAAGUUGCUAAUUAUUUAUAUUUCCAGCUUGUGAAAAUAGUUGGUAAAACAAUUCUGUUUUUAUAUCAUAGUACUUAAUUUUUGAAAAAGGUUCAUUGAGUGCCCAUCAUAAGAAAUGCGAUGUAUUACUUAAGAUCCUCUUAUAUUGCUAACUGAUUUGUAUAAUAUAAAGUUGUUAUUGAUCUCCUUUACUUGGCUAUAUGUACAAACGAUCAAUAUUUGCUCCGAGCAAAGAUCUUAAAAGAAC
Molecule: long non-coding RNA, 898 nt
Filed under: Olea europaea subsp. europaea
Lineage: Eukaryota; Viridiplantae; Streptophyta; Magnoliopsida; Lamiales; Oleaceae
Source: RNAcentral